UACGUAGGGACCAAGCGUUGUCCGGAAUCAUUGGGCGUAAAGCGCGUGUAGGCGGCCCUGCAAGUCUGGUGUGAAAACUUGAGGCUCAACCUCAAGCUGUCGCUGGAUACUGCAGGGCUUGAGUCCGGAAGAGGAGUGUGGAAUUCCUGGUGUAGCGGUGGAAUGCGCAGAUAUCAGGAGGAACACCUAUGGCGAAGGCAGCACUCUGGUACGUGACUGACGCUGAGACGCGAAAGCGUGGGGAGCAAACAGG
This 253-nucleotide ribosomal RNA is filed under the name uncultured bacterium. RNAcentral describes it as "partial 16S ribosomal RNA". It matches the Rfam family "Bacterial small subunit ribosomal RNA", at positions 524 to 776 of the family's 1533-position model. The record is from RNAcentral.